CCAUAUUGCGGCAAUGUUUGUAUAUGCAAUUUACGCAUGCGCAAUUUUGUAUAUAAAUACCUAGGACAGUGCUUUUAUAGCUCAGUAUAUUUUUGCCCCUUGAUGCGGAGAGGUCGAUAAAACAUGAAAAUAUUCCUAAAGUGGAAUUUCAAUAUUUUUCUCAUUUACUUUUCCUUUUGAAGAAUGAUUUUCGUGAUCGUUCAACUAUAGCUGACUGAGCAUUAUUAAACAAUCAGUUUAGACUACACCGAUUUCCAUAUUGCUCCAAUGUUUGUAUAUGCAGUCUACGCAUGCGCAACUUUGUAUUUAAAUGGCCAGGACAGUGAUUUUAUAGCUCCGACCGAUUUUGCACUUUGAAGCGGAAAGGUCAGUAAUACAUGAAAAUAUUUCGUAGUUAUUAUUUUAAUAUUUCUCUAAUUUUCUUUUCCUUUAAAAGGAUGAUGUUCGUGUUUGUUCAACUAUAGCGGACUGAGAGUUAAUAAACAAUACUGUUUAGACUACCCCGAUUUCCAUAUUGCCCCAAUUUUUGUAUUUGCAGUAUACGCAUGCGCAACUUUGUAUAUAAAUACCUAGGACAGAGCUUUUAUAGCUCAGUAUGUUUUUGCCCCUUGAUGCGGAGAGGUCGAUAAAACGUGAAAAUAGUCCAAAAAAUUAAUUUAAUUUUUUUUCUAAUUUACUUUUCCUUUUGAAGCAUGAUGAACGUUAUUGUUCAACUACAGCGGUCUAUGCCUUUAUAAACAAGGCAGUUUAGACUAUCCCGAUUUCCAUAUUGCGGCAAUGUUUGUAUAUGCAAUUUACGCAUGCGCAAUUUUGUAUAUAAAUACCUAGGACAGUGCUUUUAUAGCUCAGUAUAUUUUUGCCCCUUGAUGCGGAGAGGUCGAUAAAACAUGAAAAUAUUCAUAAGGUGGAAUUUCAAUAUUUUUCUCAUUUACUUUUCCUUUUGAAGAAUGAUUUUCGUGAUCGUUCAACUAUGGCGGACUCAGCAUUAAUAAACAAGUCUGUUUAGACUAUACUGAUUUUCAUAUUGCGGCAAUGUUUGUACAUGCAGUCUACACAUGCGCAACUUUGUAUUUAAAUGGCUAGGACAGUGAUUUUAUAGCUCCGACCGAUUUUGCACUUUGAAGCGGAAAGGAUGAUGUUCGUGUUUGUUCAACUAUAGCGGACUGCGAGUUAAUAAACAAUACUGUUUAGACUACCCCGAUUUCCAUAUUGCCCCAAUGUUUGUAUUUGCAGUAUACGCAUGCGCAACUUUGUAUAUAAAUACCUAGGACAGAGCUUUUAUAGCUCAGUAUGUUUUUGCCCUAUAAAACGGAUUGGUCGGUAAAAUGUGAAAAUAUUCCAAAAGAAUAAUUUAUAUAUUUUUCUAAUUUACUUUUCCUUUUGAAGGAUGAUGAACGUUAUUGUUCAACUAUAGCGGACUCAGCAUUAAUAAACAAGUCUGUUUAGACUAUACUGAUUUCCAUAUUGCGGCAAUGUUUGUACAUGCAGUCUACACAUGCGCAACUUUGUAUUUAAAUGGCCAGGACAGUGAUUUUAUAGCUCCGACCGAUUUUGCACUUUGAAGCGGAAAGGAUGAUGUUCGUGAUUGUUCAACUAUAGCGGACUGAGAGUUAAUAAACAAGUCUGUUUAGACUAAACCGAUUUCCAUAUUGCGGCAAUGUUUGUAUAUGCAAUUUAAGCAUACGCAAUUUUGUAUAUAA
This 1700-nucleotide long non-coding RNA is filed under the name Nasonia vitripennis (jewel wasp). RNAcentral's name for it is "uncharacterized LOC116416476". Lineage: Eukaryota; Metazoa; Arthropoda; Insecta; Hymenoptera; Pteromalidae. The record is from RNAcentral.